Molecule: long non-coding RNA, 3352 nt
Organism: Topomyia yanbarensis
Lineage: Eukaryota; Metazoa; Arthropoda; Insecta; Diptera; Culicidae
Exons: 5
Source: RefSeq, a predicted model, not a curated record
UGCAGUUUCUUGGUUGAAAACAAUCAUAUUUGCUUUUGCCGGUCUUUAUUAUUUUCCACCAGCUAGUGAUGCAGCAUUUGUGUCACGUGACGUCAGGAUCGCCGUGACCAAUUGCAUACAUGCAUAUACCUUAUGAUGACCAUCUUGAAUCUGCCACUUCACAUUCUUCGUCGAACACGUCUUCUCUUUGUGGCAGGUCAUCGACCUCUUGUGUAGCAUAAUACUGCAAUAUUUUAUGUUGGUUUGUUUACUUUGCGUAUUCUUUUUAUAUUUGAAGAAGCUUGCUUGACAAACGAUCAAUAAAGUAUGCAACGUUGACGAUGCUUUUCUCCCACUAGCAUUGAUUUGGCGGUUUUCCAAGGAUAAGAAAUGUUAACCAAGAAUACUUGGUGACUACUUUACGCUACCAUACCUUAUCAUCGGUACUUAUGUGAAAUGUAACGUGAACCUCCUAGACCAUGCCACAAUUUGUGAAGAAUAGCCGUUUAUAGGUAGUAGUAGAUGCAGUAGCCUAAGCAUAGUGCUUAUUUUAAUAAAUCUUAGGAGAAUAUCACUUCAAUGAAAUUGCGCUUUGAAUAAAAAAAAUUAAGUCAUUACUGUACAACAUGAUUGCUUUUAUAAGACUUGUAUAAAACAAGUCUUAUAAAAGCAAUCCAACUUCAAAUAAUACUAAAUAUUGAAACAGAGGGGUCUAACAAACAAAUUCAUUUCAAACGAAGUUGACUCAAGCGCUUUUUUGAAUCUUAGUUUAGCGACCUUUAAUGUGUUUUUUAAUAAUAUCAAUGCACAAUGGUAAUUCAAUGCAUAAACUAAGCAUAGAACCAGUUUGUUCACAUUUUACUGAUCACUAAAUUGAUUCUAUGAUGAAAUUGCUGAUAUUUUACAAUUUAGGUGCUUUUCUCUCCAUUUUGUAUUCCUCGUAAGUAUAUUAACUAUACCAAAUAUCCAAAAAAGGGUUUAAGAAUAGGGUUAGGUUAGGUUAGGGAUUAGGAAUGGCAGAUAUGGUAAAAUACGAGAAUCUUUAGACAAAUUGCUAACUAUUGUAUAGUUUGGAUAAUUUUCUUAAGUGGGGUUUUCCUUCACCACAAGUAUAUUUUUUGAGUGUAUAGGUAGAUAUGUAUUUUUGUUACGUCGGUAACCACAAAAGAGAUUAUAUUUAACUACUAAGAGGAGCAAAACGCUACUGUCUCCAUGUGUUCACGGACCGAAACAUGCACUAGCAUAUUGUAUCCCAUUACUUUGACAUGUGUACGUGUGUGUCAAACUAAUGGGCCUAGCAUAUGUACGAGCGAGAUGAUAAAUUAUCAGUGUUAACAGCGACAUGCGACCUCUAAGAAGUUACAAUCUCUUUUGUAACGACGCAUUCAUAUUAAUCCAUUUCAAAUGUAGUAAAAUGAAUUGUUCCCUUCUAGUUUAUCAGCGUACAUUGCAUCAGACGUUCUCAGGAACAAUACUUCCAAACAUUUCAGCCACGCUCAAGAUUAAUUGUUGACUGUCUGGUGUAUUUCGACGGGAUUGAAGUUUUUUUUUGUUUCAAUAUGACCAAUAAUUUAUAGUAUUUAUUUACUUUUAUAAGUAACUAGCUAAUACCCAUCGCGCGUUGCUGCGACACUCUGCGAAAUAGGAGGAAAACACAAUUUGUUCCAAAGCGCCAUCUGGCGGGCAGAUAAUCUUCAACUAAAACCACACAAACACGCCCCAUACCAAAUACCUACUGUGUGCAAAUUUUUACGGAAAUCGGUUAAGCCGUUUGGGAGUCUAUAAAUCAUAUACAUACAAACAUUGACUUUUAUAUAUAUAUAUAGAUUUAUUCAUUUAUCAUGUCUUUAGGAAAUAAUAAAAUAUAUAAGUAAUUUUUAUCUAUAAUUUCAAAUCACAAAUCCAACCUAGAAUUAACUAAAUAAUCAACUGGUACAACUUUUUGCCGAUCUGAAUCAAAAAAAAAAUCGAUUAAAAUAACCAAAUCUUGCAAUUCCCAACAAAUACUUUAGCUGUUACAACUGGUUGGAAAUUAUUUAUUAACAAAAAAAUUGAUUUAAACAACCAACUUAGUUUUAAUUUUCAACACGCAAUAUUCUUAAAAUCAACAAUAAAAUUAGUAGACACAACUCGUUUGAUGAGUUGAUCCAUAUGAUGUGUGUCUUUGCUAGCUGACAGCAUCGCAUUUUCAACUAGAUGCUUUAGUUGUUUCAGCCACCGUUUUGUUGACACAAACACAAAAAUGACAGUUUAGAAAAAUCGACAAUCGUUUAGCUGUACCAAAUUUUAACCAUUCGAUUUCAGAAAUUCGACUAGUAAUUUAGUUGCUAUGCGAUCGCGAGCGUUUCCGUGCGCCUUUUCUUUUUUAACGAGAAUAGAACAUAGCUUAAAUAAUCUACAGGGAUGCCAGGUAAUAUAUUUUUGAAAUCUGUGCGCAGCCUAUGUAAAAAAUUAAGCACGAAGUCAAAAGUAGAGAAAUCUUUGCUAGUCUGUGCAUUAUGACAGAAAACUGUACAAACCUGUGCAUUAAAACAGGAAAAUUGAAUGUUGAAAAUCUGAGAAACACAGAUUAACCUGGGCACUAGGCAUCCCUGUUUUGCAGUGAUUUUUGGUUUCUUUAUUAAAUAAUUCGCCUUUUCGUUUUUAACGGGAAUAGAAAUGUCAGCUGCAUAAAGCAGAAGAGAUUAAGACAUAUGGAGUGUAUAUGCCGCUGCUGACACUGAUCAGACAUUGACUCGAUAUCACGUACACUGAAGCUAAAAAGGAUAAGGAUUUCAUGAGUUAUAACUUAUGAACCGGCACAAUUCUUGAUAAACAUAUGAUUACGGCUUAAAAGCCAACUGUCAAAGUGCUCUUUGAAUGGAAAUUCUGGACACACCGUUAGUGGCCAAACACACUUCACAGCAGUUAAUGAAAAGGAAACUUUUGUUUACUACCAUCAACAUCUGUGAUUGGCGAGUAACGGUUUAUCCGGAAUUUCCACUCAAAGUGAAUUUUGGCAGUUAAAUUUUAAUCCGUAAUCAUAUGUUUGUCGAGAGUUGUAUUUUAAUAACCGGUAUAUGAUUUUCAUAAUUUCGUCUUAUUGAAUUCAAGGAUGUGGCUUAAGAUUAUUAUAAAGUUAUUGUGAAAACGGCAUAAUUUAAAAAUAAUGGAAUUUUAUAGUUGGGUGGAAAAUAAUCGUAAAAAUGAAAAAGUAUCCAUUUACUUAUUGUGCAAUUGUGUAAUAUAUUUAUUACAUAUUCUCCAGAAGCUAGAUAAUCGGACAAUAGAAGCUGUUGAUAUGGACUUCAAACCGACUACCAGUGCUUCUGGAAUCUGGCAUCCAGCAGCAGUAGUUUUGUGCUCAAUUUCAGCGAAAUCUUAAACUCCAGUA